Meleagris gallopavo (turkey) is the source of this 1139-nucleotide non-coding RNA. Lineage: Eukaryota; Metazoa; Chordata; Aves; Galliformes; Phasianidae. The record is from RefSeq and is a predicted model, not a curated record.
UGAGCCAAGUCUUUACUCUCUGAAGAUGUCAUUAAAACCACCUCAAAGUCUCUCUGCUUCACACUGUGAUUUUCAGGAAUUGCUUAAAGAUUCAUCCUUCUCCUGAGGGACAGAGCACGGAGGAGGAUCUGAAUUUGUUCAAGGUGGUAGCUGUUAUCCAAGACCAGUAAGGACCUGAUGGCAGCAAGAAUGUCGAGAUACCUAUAGCCAUGCAGAGCUGCCCAUAGAUGACUUGAUUCUUCAUUUUUUGUGUGAAAUUGAAAUUUAUGGAUGUCCUCAGAGCAUGUCUAAACCUUCAAGUUGAAGAACUCCCAGUCAUGCUUCUCGGUGCACAUGAAACAACGCGUCAGGUCAUGCACAGCAUGUCAUCAGACUCAUGAGGCUGAUUGGCUUUGGGAAACACAGCACAGCUGCAGCUCUACUAAGGAACAUACAAAGGCUUUCUGAAUAUUGUUUCUUCAAAGUGUUUAAAAAUAAAAUCUUUGUGUGGCUGUGUUUCUGAGCUUAUACUGCAGUCAAAGUAAUGAUUGCUAUACUCAAGAACUAAUGCGGAUCCCAGGGCUUGAAUUUUUUGCAGACUAUAAGCAGAUUCACAGUUAAACCAUUAUUAUGGCUGUUACAGGAAAAGGUAUGCCAUGGAACUGAGCAUUCACAGAAGACAUGGUUGGUCUCUGAGUCUUAUUUGGCCAUGGUUUAUGAUUUUACCCACUUCAAUGUUUGUUUUCGUUAUUUAAUUAAAAAAAUAAAAUCUUUAUUAGCCAUUUCUCAUUUAAUUCUGAUCAGAUGGAUUCAGAUCAUAAUGGUUUCUUUAUUCUUAACUCAAGGAAUAAAUAAGGUAGGACGUGUUCAUUAUUUAUUCUUCAUGACUGUUUACUUCUGUGUUUAAAAAACACAUGGAGAGAUGUAAUUGCAAAACCACAGCUUUUGCACAGGGAGAGCUAAAUUUAGAGCAAUUGGAAUGACUUCUAAUGAUGUAUUCUUUUAUGGCCUUUCCUCAAAGAGAAACUGUGUCUUAAAUUUUUAAAUAAUGAUAUAGGAUGUUCUGUUCCUACAGUAUUCAAAUAAUCACUUUUAAAGGAUCAGAUGCAUAAAGUUUCUUUUAUCUUUAUGUCCUUAUUUUAAACAAGUUGAAAUGCUAG